AUUGAACGCUGGCGGCAGGCUUAACACAUGCAAGUCGAGCGGGGUGAUGGUGCUUGCACUAUCACUUAGCGGCGGACGGGUGAGUAAUGCUUAGGAAUCUGCCUAUUAGUGGGGGACGACAUCUCGAAAGGGAUGCUAAUACCGCAUACGUCCUACGGGAGAAAGCAGGGGAUCACUUGUGACCUUGAGCUAAUAGAUGAGCCUAAGUCGGAUUAGCUAGUUGGUGGGGUAAAGGCCUACCAAGGCGACGAUCUGUAGCGGGUCUGAGAGGAUGAUCCGCCACACUGGGACUGAGACACGGCCCAGACUCCUACGGGAGGCAGCAGUGGGGAAUAUUGGACAAUGGGGGGAACCCUGAUCCAGCCAUGCCGCGUGUGUGAAAAAGGCCUUAUGGUUGUAAAGCACUUUAAGCGAGGAGGAGGCUCUUUUGGUUAAUACCCAAGAUGAGUGGACGUUACUCGCAGAAUAAGCACCGGCUAACUCUGUGCCAGCAGCCGCGGUAA
Molecule: ribosomal RNA, 503 nt
Filed under: uncultured bacterium
Lineage: Bacteria
Description: partial 16S ribosomal RNA
Rfam family: Bacterial small subunit ribosomal RNA
Source: RNAcentral